This is a non-coding RNA of Lolium perenne, 1849 nucleotides long. The record is from RefSeq and is a predicted model, not a curated record. NCBI's taxonomy places the organism in Eukaryota, Viridiplantae, Streptophyta, Magnoliopsida, Poales, Poaceae.
AACCGCCGCCACCUUCUCUUCCUCUCUAAACAAAAAUCCUACCGAGCCAAACCGCCGCCGUCUACUCCAUGCCGCCGUCGCCGUGGACCGCCGCACGCCUAGCUGGGCAGCAGAAAAGGACUGCCUUGAUCUCCUCGUCGCCCUCGUCUGCUUCACGGAACCUGGGACGCCAAGAGCUGCUCGAGAUCUUCCACGUCUACACCGUCUACGUCCCGGCCACCUCGAUGUCCUCGACGCCGGCGACCUCCUCUGCCUCCCCUUCCUCGUCGUCGAGCACCCCAGGCAUUUGCUUCUUCCCGGAUAGGAUCACGAAGUGGUGUGGUGAGAUACGACAAGUGCUCUUGCAGCUUUUCACAGGCGAGCCCUCUCUCUUCACCUAUUUUACUCUCUCCCUCGCAUUGCUAUCCUUAUGUUGCGAUUCUUUAUCGUGUCACGUGUCCUAUUCCACUUGUUUACCAUAAUAAUCCUAUAUGUAUCAUUCCUUACCCAUAGCCGUUGCUUGAUGUUUGAGCCAUGCGAGUCGUAGGCGUGUUUAGGCUCUGUUGUUUAUCCUGAUUUGUUAUCGGGAUAUGUUGGGUUGUUGGAAGGUUAUCACAUGCUAUAUCAGUUGUUGGAGAUACACAUGCUUUACUUAAUUGUUAACAACUAAAAUUGUAAGCAGAGGCAUCUGUGAGCCCCUUUGCGAAAGCAUCGGAACUUUGACUUGCUAAUGUCCCCUAGGACCCGAGCUCUUGUUAUCUGUUCCGAGAUUGAGCGCUCUACCCGUACGUGGGGGAGUGGGACCCCCAUCACCCACUACCUUUCCUCGAGUCUGUUUAUUGGGAGCUACAACCUUGGUUUUAUUUGCUCAUAUGCACGAUGCACGAUUUACUUCCUGUUGCCUUCGGGUGUUUAUAUUUUGUACUGUACUCAUAUUGCGUGCCGACUUAUCUUUGGCCGGUCGUUAGUGCUCGCCUUGGACGCCAUCGCAACCUCUGGGUCCGUAUCGGAGUACGGCCGAACUUCGUCACGGGUAGCUUAGUUGGGUGGCUCCCCUUAAACUUUCUCUUGCAUUGGGAACGGUCUUGAUGUGAGACUCCACCUGUAGUAAGUGGGUUCGAGCAUGCGUAUGGUUACAUUUGGGCAACCCCUGCAGGGUGUACAUCUUAUCGAUAAGCCGUGUCCGCGGUUAUGGACGACUUGGAAUUGUAUAGCUUGAUCAUAGAACAACUUACACCUUAUACUUGUUGUUAAUAAUCUGAUAAUAACUGGCAUAGUAAUAUAGCAUUACUACAACCGAUACCUAAUAAAACUUGUCCACCGUUGAGUGCCUUUUACAUUGCCUCUUCGCAAUUGUUGAAGGGGAUAUGUGUAUUUGGCUGGGUUAUGUGUGUGUAGUAUUUUACCUGUUACCUUAUGCGCUCUCUUAUCUUAUCUGAGUAGACGGAUUUUGUAGUGUGUCUCUAUUGGUUCUAGUUUUGCUGUCGCUAAACCUACCAUAUAGCCCCCGGCGAUAUAUAUAUAUACUCGCCCGGCGAGCAUAGCCAUUUCUAAUCUCGCUAAGUACGUGCCGGAGUUCGUUCCUUGGUACUUACUCUCGCCUUUUCCCCUUUCUCUUUUGCUUCCUCCCUUUUGUCGGCAACCGAUGGCCCGACUUUGACAGGUACAAGAUGACGACGUUAGCAAGGUUACCCUUCCGGCUUGGCCUGGGCAGGGUUAUGGACGUCACUGGUUAUCUUCAGGACUCUUAGUCCAAUUUGUAUCUUGUCCGUACUCGGACGUAUUCGAUCUUCUGUAUGAGUUGGAUCUUUGUAUUGUAUAUCGUUGGAGUCGUUGUUGUAAUAUAUGUAUCUUGUGGGCUCUAUUAUAA